This 369-nucleotide ribosomal RNA is filed under the name uncultured bacterium. RNAcentral describes it as "bacterial SSU rRNA". It matches the Rfam family "Bacterial small subunit ribosomal RNA", at positions 527 to 896 of the family's 1533-position model. The record is from RNAcentral.
GUAGGCAGCAAGCGUUGUUCGGAGUUACUGGGCGUAAAGGGUGUGUAGGCGGCCUGUUAAGUUCCGUGUGAAAUCUCCCGGCUCAACCGGGAGGGUGCGCGGAAAACUGGCGGGCUAGAGUACGGGAUGGGAGAGUAGAAUUCCUGGUGUAGCGGUGAAAUGCGUAGAUAUCAGGAGGAAUACCGGUGGUGUAGACGGCUCUCUGGACCGUAACUGACGCUGAGACACGAAAGCGUGGGUAGCAAACAGGAUUAGAUACCCUGGUAGUCCACGCCCUAAACGAUGCAUAUUUGGUGUAGGUCAUUCAGUUGAUCUGUGCCGGAGCUAACGCGUUAAAUAUGCCGCCUGGGGAGUACAGUCGCAAGGCUG